GCAAUUGAUUUCCAAUAGUGAUCUCAUGAUUUGGACACUUCUUUGUUGUUAUGGGCCUAAUUAUAGGGUAGUCAUAGAGAUUCCUACCUUAUAUAGUUUCCUAAUAUAAAUCUCUAACAUUAUAUACAUAUAUAUCUGUGUGUGUGUGUGUGUGUGUGUGUCGUCUUCUUUAUGUUUCUUCCUUAAAUUCUUACAUGGUAUCAGAAUCAAUAGAAAGUCUUGAACUUGUGGUCUCCUCGUGAGUUUCCAGUUGUCGUCUUUGGUCAGAGAAUUCUACAUCGUGGUCGGCAGCUGUGUUGAUCUUCUGUGUGUCGAAAUCGGAGCCUUAGCUCGGCGUCGCGCCCUCUCAGUUUUAUUUGAGUUCAGUAGAUUUCUGGGAUUGGAGCUGGGUUUCGGCAGGUGUUUACGGAUUCGCUGGAGUUGGGUCUGGAUCACGACAAUUUCUUUCCGGCGUUGUCCUUCGUGUCCUCGUCAUCGUGGGCGUUUGUCUGAAUCGUGUUCAGUGGCAUUUGAUUGAUCUUCUCUUAGGUUUUUGUUGUUGGGCUUAGGGAAUUUGAAUAUUUUUGGUUAUUGUUAUUGGGCCAUUAUUGUGCUGACUAUUGGAAUGAAUUAUUUGGGUUAUUUAAUUAGAAUUUUGGCAGCCUAUUAGAACACUUGGGC
RNAcentral lists this long non-coding RNA (660 nucleotides) under Olea europaea subsp. europaea. Lineage: Eukaryota; Viridiplantae; Streptophyta; Magnoliopsida; Lamiales; Oleaceae. The record is from RNAcentral.